Molecule: long non-coding RNA, 589 nt
Organism: Zea mays
Lineage: Eukaryota; Viridiplantae; Streptophyta; Magnoliopsida; Poales; Poaceae
Exons: 2
Source: RefSeq, a predicted model, not a curated record
AGUUAGAUGACCAGAAAGUAGCAUGGACAAUCUGGAAGAAAAUCCAAUUGGAAUCUAGCGUUCUUGAUUCAGUAAUUUUAGCCUAACGCAUUUCAGUCUACUAUAUUGCUAUUUGACGUUUCGAUUUAUGUGCACUCUGUGAUCACUCUGUAGUUCUUGUAACAUGUUAUUUUAUUGCCAUCUGAAAUGGUACACAACAAGCAGAUAUAGUUCGUUGCCUCCGAAACUGGUUUGUUUUUCUUUUCAGAAAAGUGCCAUGCGUGUGACAGUUUUAUCACACUCACCGCAUUUACUCUUUUUCACCAGGGAGAAAGAAUUGGCUGUUGUGAAGAUCAACCCUGUGGAUGUCGAAAUUAUCGCUAGUGAGCUUGAGCUGGACAAGAAGAUCGCGGAGAGAGCGCUCUGUGAGCACAAGGGUGAUGUCGUGGCUGCGGUUCGAUUCCUGCUGCGCUAGUUCCGAGAUUUCGUCGCCAGCAUCAUAUGUUUUUACACAAGAGGUGAUGAUGUGAAGCACUAGUACUUUUGUGUGCCUGUUUUGGAAGUUUGCUAUUGGAACUAUGUUGCAGAAAAUUAAGAAUGAGAAUACCAU